Molecule: long non-coding RNA, 2694 nt
Organism: Cavia porcellus (domestic guinea pig)
Lineage: Eukaryota; Metazoa; Chordata; Mammalia; Rodentia; Caviidae
Exons: 2
Source: RefSeq, a predicted model, not a curated record
CUCUGAGAAACAAGGUCACUGUAAAGGUCUGCUCUGAGGAAGGAAGGAGGGCGGCGGAGGGCUCAAAAACAGUGCAGGUGAGUAAAUUCCUGUGUCUUCCCCCCUCCGCUUCAUCUUCCUCCUCACAGAAACACAGGGCCCCUCUGCAGAUGACCCCAUCUUAAACAGCUUCUGUGUCAUGCAAUUGCUCAGAAGAGAGAAAACCACCUCUUGUCCUCCUCUUCAGAAUCCAUAUUUAGGAUUCUGGUCGUCUUGCGGCAGAAAAAGGCAAAAGAGCUUCGUGAGCAUCAGACAGACUUGGCUUCCACUUUUCUGAGAGCUGUGAGAGUCCAGUACAAGCAGAGCUGGGCCCGAGGCCUCUCCUGAGAAAGCACACACAGUGAUAAAUAGCGUGGCUCAAAUGAUGACAGUGGCACUCUGGACACCACAGCCCCCGGCAUCAGGAAGGGUGGUGUGGCUGAGCCAGACAAGGGGACUCUGUCAGUGAUAAUGGGGAUAAAACCACCAAGAGCUGGGUGGUUUUCUGGGGUCAUCAGCCAUGCACUGGGGUUCUGGCCAUGCUGAGUUCACUAAGGAACACAGAAAUGCAUCCGAAUCUCGAGUCAGCUCUGGGUUCCCUGAACCAGAAGAGCUGCACACGGGCAUCGGUCCUCAAUCUCCUAGCAGGCAUGGAGUUGCUGCUCUCCUGCUGCUGCUCUGCAGCCCAGUCAGCUCCUCCUGGAAGCCGCAGAGUGCGCCCAUCUGCUGCAUGUGCGCCCUCCGGGGUGCACACAGGGCUGCAAGUUGCCAAGGGGCGGAGCUGCUCCACAGGGACAGGCCUGGAGGACAGUGAGCAGCAGGCUGCCGGUGAUGGAACAUAGAGGUGCCCUUGCAGCCCAGAGACUCUGGGUCCACUGUCCCCGAGGACGAUGCUCCUGUGCUUAUGUGCUGGGGACCUGCCACUUGCAGCAGAGUCCAAAGCCUUCAGCAUAGAAGACUGUUGGGAGCCGCCGACACCGGUCGCCUUACUUGGCGGACGUAGGGCCUGUGGGUGGGAGCGGAGCCUGAGCUAGAUUGCCCCUCCCAUCGAGUGAGUCAAGUUGGUGCCUGCUUCCUGCCCCCUGAUUGCGCUGGCGACUUAAACAACCCGCUCUGUAAGAUAGUCUGCCUAGCAACAACUGAUGUUAGCCAAUCAGCCCGCAUCGGGCGCUUUGAACUGAUUGGCCACUGUUACCCUAUAAAAGUAAAUGCCUCUCCCGCCACGAGACAGGAAGCACAGAGAAAGCACAGAGAGAGAUAGAAAAAGUCCACCGGCGAGAAAGGGCUGGUGGCAGAGUGGAGGCCUCGCGGGGCCCACGCGGAGAUAAAUAAAGGCAAGGUUGCACACCGCCAGACUUUGUCGUGUGUCUUUCCUGCCGGCCGGGAGCGACCCCGACAUUUGGUGACCCGCACGGGGACUGAUCAACCCCGAGACACGGCGGUGGUGUGCAACGCUCCAGCGUGGUGCUGCCGGACAGGAACCGGGACGAAAACCACUGUGGGUCCCAGAGAGGUUGACGCGACAAGUCCCUCGACUGAAGAUCAGGCCUGUUCCACCAGAGGCCAACCGCAGACCCAACAACAAGAUGAGCCCUAAAAGAACUGCAGGACAAUCCCUUUUUGGGGAGCCUGGAAUGGCUUGCUCCCCUAUGUUUUACCAUUGUUAGGUCCCCUGUGCUCCUUGCUUCUGCUCUUACUUGUAGGACCAUGCUUGCUCCGAUGGGUUACAUCAUUUAUUAAUGGGCGCCUUGCGGCGGCCCGGCGUCAAGUACGCCUGGUUGCCCAUGCGGCCCUGGCAGCAGCCCGUGAUGGGCACAAUGACCCCCAGGCUUACGCAUGGCUCGCUCCACUGGCCUACGACCGGGUCUAGAUGUGGCGGGUCUUCCGCACUCCUUCCCUAAUGACACCACACAGCAGGGUAGGUGAGUCAAUGACGGGUAAGAGCGUGCCUCCCCAGCAUGACUCGACCUAAGCCAGGCCCCUACCCCAUGGCGCACGAAAGCCGCUGGAUUACUAGAAUCUGCCCAGAUCUAGAUGCCUCUCCGAGGGGAUCACACGGAGGGGCAUGAGUGCAUGCCUAUGUGCAUCCAGGUUCCGUCCAGUUCACUCCUGGCCCUGGAAAAAGGACGAGGGUCUCAAGGCCUUGGCAGACCCGGGGGCGGCCGACCAGGGUCCAAGCCAAGGGCCUACGGUGGGCCUCAACACAGGGCAUAAGCCUCUGCACUCGAUCCAGGGCGGGCUGCGAUGCAUACAUUCAUUCAAAGUAAAUAAAAUAGGGGGAGAAGUUGGGAGCCGCCGACACCGGUCGCCUUACUUGGCGGACGUAGGGCCUGUGGGUGGGAGCGGAGCCUGAGCUAGAUUGCCCCUCCCAUCGAGUGAGUCAAGUUGGCGCCUGCUUCCUGCCCCCUGAUUGCGCUGGCGACUUAAACAACCCGCUCUGUAAGAUAGUCUGCCUAGCAACAACUGAUGUUAGCCAAUCAGCCCGCAUCGGGCGCUUUGAACUGAUUGGCCACUGUUACCCUAUAAAAGUAAAUGCCUCUCCCGCCACGAGAGAGAAGCACAGAGGAAGCACAGAGAGAGAUAGAGAAAGUCCACCGGCGAGAAAGGGCUGGUGGCAGAGAGGAGGCCUCGCGGGGCCCACGCGGAGAUAAAUAAAGGCAAGAUUGCACACUGCCA